RNAcentral lists this transfer RNA (88 nucleotides) under Planctopirus ephydatiae. Its description in RNAcentral is "tRNA-Ser". It matches the Rfam family "tRNA". From Rfam's summary of the family: Transfer RNA (tRNA) molecules are approximately 80 nucleotides in length. Their secondary structure includes four short double-helical elements and three loops (D, anti-codon, and T loops). The record is from RNAcentral. Lineage: Bacteria; Pseudomonadati; Planctomycetota; Planctomycetia; Planctomycetales; Planctomycetaceae.
GGAGAGGUGGCAGAGCGGUCGAUUGUGCAGCACUGGAAAUGCUGUGUACUCGAAAGGGUACCGAGGGUUCGAAUCCCUCCCUCUCCGC